AUGAAAAAUCUGGGAGAAGCCGAUGUAAUUCUAAACAUCAAACUUAUUAAGGAUGAGAGUGGGAUUACAUUAACGCAAUCUCACUAUGUUGAGAAGGUCUUGAACCGAUUCGGUUUUAUGGAUAGCAAGCAUUCUCCAACACCUUAUGAUCCCAGCGUGACACUCAGAAAGAACAAGAAAGAAACGAGAGAUCAAUUAAGAUACUCUCAAAUUGUCGGUUCACUCAUGUACUUAGCUAGCGCUACAAGACCAGAUAUCUCUUUUGCUGUGAGCAAACUGAGUAGGUUCAUGUCCAACCCGGGUGAUGAUCAUUGGCAUGCACUAGAAAGGGUCUUGCACUAUCUGAGAGGUACUAUGAGUUACGGAAUAACUUAUUCAGGGCAUCCUGCUGUGCUAGAAGGAUAUAGUGAUUCAAAUUGGAUCUCCGAUGUUGAUGUACUUUACGCAACAAGUGGGUAUGUAUUUACUCAUGGUGGUGGCGCAGUGUCAUGGAGGUCUUGCAAGCAAACCAUAUUGACGAGGUCAACUAUGGAAGCAGAAUUAACUGCUUUGGACACAACUACUGUUGAGGCAGAAUGGCUGCGUGAGCUCUUGAUGGACUUGCCAGUUAUUGAAAAACCUGUACCGGCUAUUCUUAUGAAUUGUGAUAACCAAACGGUUAUCGCUAAAGUGAACAAUUCUAAAGAUAAUGCAAAGUCAUCAAGACACGUGAAAAGACGUUUGAAGUCUGUCAGGAAGUUGAGAAACUCCGGAGUAAUAACUGUUACGUAUAUACAAACAGACAAAAACCUGGCAGAUCCCUUUACAAAGGGACUAUCACGAAAUGUGAUAGAUAUUGCAUCGAGGGAGAUGGGUAUGAGACCCAUA
Molecule: ribosomal RNA, 867 nt
Filed under: Triticum aestivum (bread wheat)
Lineage: Eukaryota; Viridiplantae; Streptophyta; Magnoliopsida; Poales; Poaceae
Description: partial small subunit ribosomal RNA
Source: RNAcentral